RNAcentral lists this ribosomal RNA (30 nucleotides) under Lotharella oceanica. The record is from RNAcentral. Lineage: Eukaryota; Cercozoa; Chlorarachniophyceae.
UACCCGAAAACAUUUCGAACUCGAUUAGUC